UUUCUUUUUCGUUCUUUGUUUCGCAGAUGGGGAUGCUUACCGGACGAAUGCCAUGAUUCUGUAAAGACGCUCCAGAAGAUGGAAUUUUAGUUGGAAAGCAAAGACUCUACGACUACUUGGCUGGUGGAGUAUAUUUUGCACAGUCUGCAACGCGAAGACCCCGCUAUCAACAGGAUUGGAGGAAUUAGAGACAAGGAGGUACGCAUCACCUUUUUGAAAGCCUGGUAUGAUUUUUCUUAGAUGGAAGAAUGCACCAUGAGCUUAUCCAACUUACUGUAGUAGUUGCCACUAUUGUUGAGAGAGAGGAAGAACUAUGGUUAGAAUGAGUUAGUUGGAAAAGAAAUCUAUAAAACAGA
This is a long non-coding RNA of Selaginella moellendorffii, 356 nucleotides long. RefSeq lists it as uncharacterized. The transcript has 3 exons. NCBI's taxonomy places the organism in Eukaryota, Viridiplantae, Streptophyta, Lycopodiopsida, Selaginellales, Selaginellaceae. The record is from RefSeq and is a predicted model, not a curated record.